CUCUACGAGAAGUCCAUUGAACCUUAUCAUUUAGAGGAAGGAGAAGUCGUAACAAGGUUUCCGUAGGUGAACCUGCGGAAGGAUCAUUGUCGAGAUCGAUCAAGCAAUUCGGAGAACCCGUGAAAUAAGCAACAAAACAUUCAUCACAGUCGCAGCCUCGUCGCCUCGGUUGGCGGGUUGCGAUGAAUGGUGGAUGAGAAAAACUCAAACCGACGCAACUCUGCGUCAAGGGAAUUCAGGAAAACAUGGGUCUGCGAUAUCGGGCUUACUGGCAUGGAGUGCUAUUAUUGCACACCAAAUGUAUUGACACGACUCUCGACAAUGGAUAUCUCGGCUCUCGCAUCGAUGAAGAGCGCAGCGAAAUGCGAUAUGUGGUGCGAAUUGCAGAAUCCCGUGAACCAUCGAGUCUUUGAACGCAAGUUGCGCCCGAGGCCAAUCGGCCAAGGGCACGUCUGCCUGGGCGUCUAGCGUUGUAUCGCUCCGUGUCAACUCCAUCAUGUCGAUGGGCGUGAUGGAUGAGGCUAGGAUGUGCAUAGUGGCUCGUCGUGCCCAUCGGUGCGGCGGGUUGAAGAGCGGGUCGACAUCUCAUUGGCCACGAACAACAAUGGGUGGAUAAAAGUUUGAGCAAGUCCUAUGUUGUCUCGUGGCUUCUCGAGAAAAGAAUUUAUACCUUGGAGGUGAUCCCAACCCAUGCGACGGCUUGGAAUGCGACCCCAGGAUGGGCGAGGCCACCCGCCGAGUUUAAGCAUAUCAA
RNAcentral lists this ribosomal RNA (754 nucleotides) under Tainia latifolia. RNAcentral describes it as "eukaryotic LSU rRNA". The stretch from base 311 to 466 matches the Rfam family "5.8S ribosomal RNA". The record is from RNAcentral. Lineage: Eukaryota; Viridiplantae; Streptophyta; Magnoliopsida; Asparagales; Orchidaceae.